GAGGCGGAGUUUCCAUAAAAGUAAGACCACCCUCCACGGCAGAUUUGCAAUGCACCAGAACCCUCUUAAGGAAGAUGUGGAGAACUUGGGAGAACACAGGUGAAUGCUUGUUAGGAAGAGAUGGAAGCUGACAGCACUGUCCCGUUGUGAAGAACCUGCUCUUGUGUCUGUCUGACAGCAGUGCAUAGAAAUACCUAAGUAGUGCUUUCCUAAGUCGUUAGUGCAGGAUCUGUUUCCUCACGUGUUGUUAGAGAGACAGCUCAGGGCAGAAGGGACCUACGGGAAGGGCGGCACUGCCCUAGGCACCUAGUGUGGGCCCCACCAUAAUCCUCGCCCAGGCCGGUUCUCACAGGGAUAUAUCUUCAUGAAUCUGCAACUCAAACUAGACAGAGCGUACAAGACCAAAAACAGGAAGAAAGAUGGCCUUCUUGGUUCCCAACCCUAGAACUGUUGCUUGGCACCCCCACAGCUGUGUCUUCAAGCUAAAAAGAAUACUUCAAGCAAAAGUACUGAGCCCGUGAGAGUACUUCAUCGCUGAAGCUGGCUCAGACACCCUACCUGCCCGUCCUGCUCCACUCCAAGCCAGCAGAAACAGUUUAGGAAGGGAAAGGCUCUUGGCUCAGUUUCAGAUGACUGCAGUCCGUCACUACAGAAGGCGUCACAAAGCAUCUCCAAUCACAUUGGUGAGCGCCUGUGACGAAGGCUUUCACAUCAAAAUAGCUUAGGAAGCUGUGGGCAAAGAAAGAACCCUGGCCAAGUGCGGCUUUCCCACCUAGUGGCCUAGUCCACCGCCUAGGCCCCACCUUCCAAUGUGACACCACCGACUGGGGGCCGGGAUUCUAAACAAGAAUCUGGGACUGACACUUUAACGUGAAAUGUGACAAACACCCUCAUCCCAAAGGACAGGUGGUGAUGGGUAACAAGGAGGUGUUGCCUAAGAGGGACAUUCUGAGAGUCAAGCCGCAUGCUCCAUCGGGUUCUCUGAUGAAGAAAUCAUCCUAAGCCCAGGACCAGAGAAGCUCUGACAUCCAGAAAUCUAAGGGAAGCUGAUCACCAGAUCUGCUGAGACCCGAGAUCCACCUGACACUGAAGAAAUAACGGAAAUGCAGAGGGAAACGUUUUGAGAAUUUAUUGGUAGGAUGUAUCCAGUGUGGAAGCCCUAGUUAAUAACUAUCAUGGCCUUUGUAUGUCAUCCGAUAAAAGAACUGCCUUUAUAGUGAAUGAUAAAUUCAUUCAACAACUUUAAUAAAUAUUCUAGAAAAAGUGAAACGUGGAAAAUUUAUGUGGAUACGUGUGUGUCGUAAAUUAAGUAGCUUGCUCAGCCUCUUCACAAACUCACCCUGUAACAUGAGUUCUAAUAGAUCUUAAAAAUAAAAGCCUGGAGUAUAUAGGGGAGAUAGAGCUGAGAGAUCAGAGAGGAGGAGCAUGCUAAAGCCUUUACCUCAUGAGCUUCCCGUUGGAACAGAGAGCUGGUUCCUGUCUCCUCCCGCCUAUACACCUUUCUCCUCCCAGCCGUCUCACUUCCUGUCUGUCUGUGCAGACCUCCAGACCUCUGUGGUUACAGAGUGGCUAGCUCCACUGAUCUUCACACACUCUCCACUGGUACAAACAAGAUACCACCACAUCGCACUACCUGUGUAGACACUUAUACAUGUUAGAGCAUAAUUUAAGGCCAGCCUAAUGAUUUCACUACCAAGUACCCUAAGCAAUGAACUGUAAAACUGCCAUAGGUUUCCUACAAUUUCAUCUUUCCUUCUGACAUUAACAGAAUUUAUCAGGCAGUAAUUCUGAUAAGAAUGUAAACAAAACAAAAAAUGUAACUGUGGGGUUAGUGAGGAAGAUAAAGCAAGAGAUUAUUUGUAAUUUAUAACUGCCAAUUGUAAUUUGUAAUUCCAAAAAUAUUAUCAGAGUAAAAAGAUAAAAAAAUUAAUGUAUUAGCAUAGAAAUGUUUUUCACUAGAAAUCAUAAUUUAUUAUGUUUGGAAGUGAUUAAGAAGUUUG
This is a long non-coding RNA of Mesocricetus auratus (golden hamster), 2000 nucleotides long. RefSeq lists it as uncharacterized. The transcript has 3 exons. Lineage: Eukaryota; Metazoa; Chordata; Mammalia; Rodentia; Cricetidae. The record is from RefSeq and is a predicted model, not a curated record.